GCCUACGGUCAGGGCACGGUGUCCUUUCACAAGAUGAGGGUCACCUUUAACUGGUACAUUAUCCAGCCAAGAUUUCAUGCCAGGCUGAGGGGGGGGGCAUCGGACGUCACCGUGAGGGCAGCGCACCACGCCGUGGCCAGGAGAUGGCGUCGAGGAAGAGAGGCACGAGAAGGAAGAGAGGAGAAAGCAGGAGGGAGACGCCUGGCUCAGCGGCGGGACACGCGCCACAAUCGAUGCCCUCGCAGACGAGCGGGCCGCCCUUGGCCGUGAGGACAUGGUCAUUGUGAAACCGAAGCAGAUGGAUGUGAACAAAGCAGGCGAGAGCACCGCCCCACCCCCCCCGGUCGCCGCGGUAUCACCGCUAGCCAGGCCCCCGUAAUCUCCCUCAGCCUUCAGAGCGGCGAUGAAUGACCCCGGCAGCAUGGACCGGCUCCCUUAUCGCAGCCUCUGCAGGCUGUCCACUCGCCGCUCUCCCCGGCAUCUUUCGGGCGCCGCUGCCCCGCUCCCCCCACGCCCCCGGCGGCCAGUGGACUUCC
Brienomyrus brachyistius is the source of this 536-nucleotide long non-coding RNA. RefSeq lists it as uncharacterized. Lineage: Eukaryota; Metazoa; Chordata; Actinopteri; Osteoglossiformes; Mormyridae. The record is from RefSeq and is a predicted model, not a curated record. The transcript has 3 exons.